Apis cerana (Asiatic honeybee) is the source of this 2445-nucleotide long non-coding RNA. RefSeq lists it as uncharacterized. The record is from RefSeq and is a predicted model, not a curated record. Lineage: Eukaryota; Metazoa; Arthropoda; Insecta; Hymenoptera; Apidae.
AUGACAAAGUACGAAAUAAAAACAAAUAAUAUUUGGAAAUAGCUCAAGUCACGUGACUCGCAAAUCCAAUAUUAUACUCGUAUGUCUCCUCGAUUCGUUAGUGUACUAUUGAAAUUGCUGAAAUUGUGGUCUCUGAUAUUUCUUAACCUUCAGGCCCAAACAUGCCUGGACAUUACGAGAACUGGCUUGUGGUACACAUUGUUUUAGAGGAAAUAGAAUUCGCUCCUUUAAUACAAGUUGCUUACGUAACAUCUAAAAUCAUGUCGUGCAAAUUCCACGACGAGGCUAGUAGAAACGAAGUUUUGAAACUUAUAAACGAGCUGGGUAGCACUGAAGUUGUGACGCGGACUAAACGAUUCCCUGACGCUUUCCUGGUUAAUCUAACACACGGCGAAUUCGCCGAACAACUAAAUAGCGUACGUUUGAUAUUGGAAUUCGACGAACAAGACCUUAGCGAAGAAAAGAAGAUGCAAAGAAGAAAUUCAUAUUAUUCAUCAUCUCAACGUUUGCGUACGAUGCUGUGCAACUUAAAACUUUAUCAAGAUCUUUAUGAUAGAGCUUCUUUCGAAAGAAGAAGCCAAUUGGUGUGGCGAGAACUAUUGAUGGAUGAUGAAACCUGGGAACGUAUAGUAGCUGCUAAUCUCGGAAUCAAUUAUGACCAGGCUCGAGCAUUAAAUUAAACAAAUGAAGUUAAAUUUUGUUGUUCCAGACACUCACAACUCAUGACUCCGUCAAUUAUUUACUGCUGCAAACCAUGGUAGAAGUUCGAAACUACAGCGUAGCUGAGAAGAAUUUUUCGUGUUCGAGUUUGUAUUGUGACAUACGCCGAAUUAGAAUGAAGAAUUAAUUAAGCUAGAUUUAGGUAGAUACAAAUUUUAAACAAUCAUCAUCGAUCAUUGAAAUAGUCGUAAAAAUAUUUGAAUUCCCGAUUAUACAUGGAGUUCUACUAAAUUUCUCAAUUUCUUUCUUCGAGUUUUGUUUUUUUUUUUUUCUCUAAGAAUAUGCAUUCUUGAAUUUGUUUCGAUCUCUAUAUUCACUUUUCUAUCUCACCCCAUUGCAUUUACAUUACGUUUACAUUACGUUAUGAAAUAGGACGCAGACAGGACAAAAUAGGAAAUGAGGAUAACAAUCAUCAAAAUUGAAUUAGCAAAAAAAAUGACCUGAUGCAUAUUUUUAUUUUUAUUUUUAUUUUAGUAUAUUUUAUUUUAUUUUUGCGUUUUAUUUUGUUUAAUUUUGUGGAAAAGGAAUGAAUAUUUACAAUCGUUCACAACGAUUCGAUAUAUUUUUUUAAUCUAUUGACGAUUUAUUAAAGUAGAAGAUUGUGCGAGAAUGAUAUUAUUAAUUGAUUAAACGAUAUAAAGAUUACGCGAGAAUUUUCAAAAGAAUUAGUCUAAAACGUAGUUAAGACGAAUUGAAAUAUAUUAGCUAUUCGGACAUACGAAUUGGAAUGUGUUAGCUAUUGGACAUACGAUUUUCAAUUUUUCAAUUUUAGUUUGCCGUGGAACAUCGUCGAUUGUGAGUUCUUUACGUGUCGAGAAAGUUUUAAAAACUCAAUCGUUACACGAAACUUGCAAUUUUAUUAUUAAAAGGAUUGUUGCGAGACAAUCAGAUCAGAUUAUUUAUGUGUCGAUGAAGAUUUUCGACAUAAAUUUUUUGAAAUUUAUUUUACGAUACCCUUAAUAUUAUUUGCAUUAAAAAAUUACCAUUUAUUUAUAAGUUAUUUAUAAGGUUUGCAAUUCAAUUAUAAUAUGAGCAAGUAUGACAGGACACGUCAUUUACGAACUAUUUGUAUUUUCUUCUCUUUAAUUUUAAAUAGUUAUUUAAGUUUUUAUUAUCACUAUUUAUUAAGCAUCUAUAUAUCCAUAAAUUAUAAGCUAUGAUAUAUUAGGAUUGUAAAUAUUUGCAUAAGCGUCUGCGCCGCGUCCACGAAAAAAUAUUGAUACAACGUUGAUGCAAACGUAUAUAAUAUAUAAUUAGUUUAUAUAUAAGUUAUAAGUAAUUUUACACAAUUUUACAUAAUUUUAACAAUACUUUACAAUUUCGUUUGAACUGUAUGUGCAAACUGGGGUGUAUUUUGAGACUUUUAGAAUUUAGAGAUUUUUAGAAUGUAGAGAUUUUUAGAAUCUAGAGAUUUUUAGAAUGUAGAGAUUUUUAGAAUGUAGAGAUUUUUAGAAUCUAGAGAUUUUUAGAAUUUAGAGAUUUUUAGAAUUUAGAGAUUUUUAGAUUUAGUUCAAGAAUAAUUGUAAUUCAACAUUUAUUAUCUUAAGUUAUUAUUAAGUAAUUGUAUAACACUUCAUCUUUCUAAUUUUAAAAAUUAUGUAGCCCUUUUUACUCUACACAAGAUCUUACAAUCUAACAUGACAUAGUAUAACAUAACAUAACAAUAUUGAAGAACAUAACCGAAGAAGGAACAGAAACAAAAAUAAAACCGCCGGCCCAAACACA